GUAUGAGAAGGAGUGUUUCAUACCAACAAAAUCUAUUGUUGGUAUGAAAUCUCUCUAAAAUUCUUAUAGAAAAUUCAGCAAUAUCAGAAGAAUCUCUGGUAGGUCUCUUGUCUAUUUAUAAAAUAUUAGUAUUUUUAAAAUAACAACUAUUUUCUUUUUUUCAUUAAAAGACUUCAUCACAUGCAAUAAAAUCAGUGUUUCUACACAUUUAAGAACCGGCAAACCAUGGAGCCCAUCACCUGACACAAGCCUCAACUGUGGGUUCCAGGACAGACAGAAGGAAGCCCUUCCAGAGCAGGAGGUGGAGAUGCAAGGGCAGGAACCGGGACCUGCCAAGCGCCUCACUGCUGCUCAAAGGUUUGCAAAGCCACUGUCAUUUAGCUUGACCGUGACACUACUUUAAUUGCCUGACUCAAAAUGCUAUGGAUUUCUGGGAGAUCUAGUUUUACAGGGUCUUCUGUAUUCAUCUUGUGGGUCCUGAAGUAGAGGUGGAAUACCUGGUGGAAUACCUGGUGGAAUACCUGGAAACACGUGACAUAUAGUACUGGUGUGCUGCCUCAAGUUGUAGGUGGAGAAAAUAAGUUAUAGCCAUAGUUCAGCUAGUGGACCUGCAGAUUCCUAGGAAAUACCUCUCUAUUGGCAUAACUCUGUGGACCACAUUUGUUGUUUUCAGAUAAAAAUGUAUUUAUUUUCCCAUUUUCACAGUGGUUCUGUGAGGAUACCUUUGGGAUUCCUUUAAAGGAGAUUUUAUUCCUAGAAACAUUGAGAAUUUACUAAAAGUCGGUGGAUGACCCAAACAUUCUGACACUUGAUGGGCUUGCUUGCAGUAGACAAUGUGUCUUGUCCUCCAAGUGUGGACCCCACCCCACCCCACUCCACUCCAGCCAGCUAUAGCAGCUAAAAAAGAUUUAAUCUUUUGACAAAAAUUUUAAAAUUCUCCCCAAAAUGUGCUAAUCUUUCUGAAACUUGGGGGGUGGGUGGACUGAUGCUCUGGUUAUGUUAUGUAAUUGUAGGAAAAAUCAAGGACAUGGUUCUUGUAGUUUGUUUUGAUUUUUAUUUUGUAAAAACCUAAAAUAUU
Molecule: long non-coding RNA, 1078 nt
Filed under: Anolis carolinensis (green anole)
Lineage: Eukaryota; Metazoa; Chordata; Lepidosauria; Squamata; Anolidae
Description: lncRNA (ENSACAG00000045580.1)
Source: RNAcentral